Molecule: small nucleolar RNA, 123 nt
Filed under: Theobroma cacao (cacao)
Lineage: Eukaryota; Viridiplantae; Streptophyta; Magnoliopsida; Malvales; Malvaceae
Source: RNAcentral
AUCCCAGAUAAUGAUUCUAGCGAUUAUCUGAUUCAUGAGGGGCAAAGAACAAGGAUGGUGAGUUCGCUGAUAGCACCUUUAAUUUUGUAAAAAGGUGUUCUGAUAGUACCUCACCACACACAA